This 253-nucleotide ribosomal RNA is filed under the name uncultured bacterium. Its description in RNAcentral is "partial 16S ribosomal RNA". It matches the Rfam family "Bacterial small subunit ribosomal RNA", at positions 524 to 776 of the family's 1533-position model. The record is from RNAcentral.
UACGAAGGGGGCUAGCGUUGCUCGGAAUCACUGGGCGUAAAGCGCACGUAGGCGGCGCCGUAAGUCAGGGGUGAAAUCCCGGAGCUCAACUCCGGAACUGCCCUUGAAACUGCAGUGCUAGAAUCUUGGAGAGGCGAGUGGAAUUCCGAGUGUAGAGGUGAAAUUCGUAGAUAUUCGGAAGAACACCAGUGGCGAAGGCGACUCGCUGGACAAGUAUUGACGCUGAGGUGCGAAAGCGUGGGGAGCGAUCCGG